This 210-nucleotide long non-coding RNA is filed under the name Brassica napus (rape). Its description in RNAcentral is "long non-coding RNA (BNAP_LNC005246)". The record is from RNAcentral. Lineage: Eukaryota; Viridiplantae; Streptophyta; Magnoliopsida; Brassicales; Brassicaceae.
GGUCUUGGUUCUGUUAUAGAUUGUACCUUAUUCUAGUGGGCCUUCUGACUAUUGGGUCAGAUUUUGAACUGGGUUUGGAGUGGGGUGAAACCCACCUCCAACAGUAGCACCUUUGGAGUCCGGCGCGUUUCAAGUUGUCAGCCAGUUCGUGUCUUAAUUCUGAUCUGGGUGGCGUAUUUGUCACAUUGGUUUAUGAUUUUCAAGAUCCUG